This 484-nucleotide ribosomal RNA is filed under the name uncultured bacterium. RNAcentral's name for it is "partial 16S ribosomal RNA". It matches the Rfam family "Bacterial small subunit ribosomal RNA", at positions 30 to 507 of the family's 1533-position model. The record is from RNAcentral.
AUUGAACGCUGGCGGCAGGCCUAACACAUGCAAGUCGAGCGGAUGAAGGUAGCUUGCUCCUGGAUUCAGCGGCGGACGGGUGAGGAAUGCCUAGGAAUCUGCCUGGUAGUGGGGGAUAACGUCCGGAAACGGGCGCUAAUACCGCAUACGGCCUGAGGGAGAAAGUGGGGGAUCUUCGGACCUCACGCUAUCAGAUGAGCCUAGGUCGGAUUAGCUAGUUGGUGGGGUAAAGGCCUACCAAGGCGACGAUCCGUAACUGGUCUGAGAGGAUGAUCAGUCACACUGGAACUGAGACACGGUCCAGACUCCUACGGGAGGCAGCAGUGGGGAAUAUUGGACAAUGGGCGAAAGCCUGAUCCAGCCAUGCCGCGUGUGUGAAGAAGGUCUUCGGAUUGUAAAGCACUUUAAGUUGGGAGGAAGGGCAGUAAGUUAAUACCUUGCUGUUUUGACGUUACCAAAAGAAUAAGCACCGGCUAACUUCGUG